UUCAACGGCCGCGGUAUCCUAACCGUGCAAAGGUAGCGUAAUCACUUGUCCCUUAAAUAGGGACCAGUAUGAACGGCUAUAUGAGGAUAAAUCUGUCUCCUUUAACAAAUCAGUGAAACUGAUCCACCAGUACAAAAGCUGGUAUAAACCCAUAAGACGAGAAGACCCUGUGGAGCUUUAAAUUCAAACCAAGCAGCCAAAACACUACUAGCCAAUGGUUAAAAUUUUAAGUUGGGGCGACUUCGGAAAAAAACUAAACUUCCGAGCAUAANNCUACGUCUUACCAAGACCUACAAGUCAAAGCCAAAAUUGACCCAGUACCACUGACAACCGAACCAAGUUACCCCAGGGAUAACAGCGCAAUCUUCUUCAAGAGUCCCUAUCGACAAGAAGGUUUACGACCUCGAUGUUGGAUCAGGACACCCAAAUGGUGCA
Molecule: ribosomal RNA, 435 nt
Filed under: Sceloporus scalaris (bunch grass lizard)
Lineage: Eukaryota; Metazoa; Chordata; Lepidosauria; Squamata; Phrynosomatidae
Description: partial 16S ribosomal RNA
Rfam family: Bacterial large subunit ribosomal RNA
Source: RNAcentral